GGAAACGAACGCUAAUACCGCAUAACAUGAAGGAACGGCAUCGUUCUUUCAUCAAAGAUUUUAUCGCUGAGAGAUGGGCUCGCGGCCGAUUAGGUAGUUGGUGAGAUAACAGCCCACCAAGCCGACGAUCGGUAGCCGGACUGAGAGGUUGAACGGCCACAUUGGGACUGAGACACGGCCCAGACUCCUACGGGAGGCAGCAGUGGGGGAUAUUGCACAAUGGAGGAAACUCUGAUGCAGCGACGCCGCGUGAGGGAAGACGGUCUUCGGAUUGUAAACCUCUGUCUUUGGGGAAGAAAAUGACGGUACCCAAAGAGGAAGCUCCGGCUAACUAC
This 335-nucleotide ribosomal RNA is filed under the name uncultured bacterium. RNAcentral's name for it is "bacterial SSU rRNA". It matches the Rfam family "Bacterial small subunit ribosomal RNA", at positions 152 to 504 of the family's 1533-position model. The record is from RNAcentral.